Molecule: unclassified non-coding RNA, 361 nt
Filed under: soil metagenome
Description: partial contains 5.8S ribosomal RNA, internal transcribed spacer 2, and large subunit ribosomal RNA
Rfam family: 5.8S ribosomal RNA (bases 1-120)
Source: RNAcentral
GAUGAAGAACGUAGCGAAAUGCGAUAAGUAAUGUGAAUUGCAGAAUUCAGUGAAUCAUCGAAUCUUUGAACGCACCUUGCGCUCCUUGGUAUUCCGAGGAGCAUGCCUGUUUGAGUGUCAUUAAUAUAUCAACCUUCUCUUUUUUGAGUUGUUUGGAUGUGGGGGUUUGCUGGCCUCUUAAAUGAUUCAGCUCCCCUGAAAUGCAUUAGCAGAACAACCUGUUCAUUGGCGUGAUAAUUAUCUAUGCUAUUGAAUGUGAGGGCAGUUCAGCUUUCUAACCGUCCUUGGACAAUUCAUCAUUAAUGUGACCUCAAAUCAGGUAGGACUACCCGCUGAACUUAAGCAUAUCAUAAGCGGAGGA